RNAcentral lists this ribosomal RNA (156 nucleotides) under Peltigera praetextata. Its description in RNAcentral is "5.8S ribosomal RNA". The stretch from base 36 to 156 matches the Rfam family "5.8S ribosomal RNA", at positions 1 to 121 of the family's 154-position model. From Rfam's summary of the family: 5.8S ribosomal RNA (5.8S rRNA) is a component of the large subunit of the eukaryotic ribosome. It is transcribed by RNA polymerase I as part of the 45S precursor that also contains 18S and 28S rRNA. Lineage: Eukaryota; Fungi; Ascomycota; Lecanoromycetes; Peltigerales; Peltigeraceae. The record is from RNAcentral.
CAGUGAUGUCUGAGCAAAUUAUUUAAAAUAAGCAAAACUUUCAACAACGGAUCUCUUGGUUCCGGCAUCGAUGAAGAACGCAGCGAAAUGCGAUAAGUAAUGUGGACCGCAGUACUCAGCGACUCAUCGAAUCUUUGAACGCACAUUGCGCCCCUU